GAUGAACGCUAGCUACAGGCUUAACACAUGCAAGUCGAGGGGCAGCAUGGUCUUAGCUUGCUAAGGCCGAUGGCGACCGGCGCACGGGUGAGUAACACGUAUCCAACCUGCCGUCUACUCUUGGACAGCCUUCUGAAAGGAAGAUUAAUACAAGAUGGCAUCAUGAGUCCGCAUGUUCACAUGAUUAAAGGUAUUCCGGUAGACGAUGGGGAUGCGUUCCAUUAGAUAGUAGGCGGGGUAACGGCCCACCUAGUCUUCGAUGGAUAGGGGUUCUGAGAGGAAGGUCCCCCACAUUGGAACUGAGACACGGUCCAAACUCCUACGGGAGGCAGCAGUGAGGAAUAUUGGUCAAUGGGCGAGAGCCUGAACCAGCCAAGUAGCGUGAAGGAUGACUGCCCUAUGGGUUGUAAACUUCUUUUAUAAAGGAAUAAAGUCGGGUAUGCAUACCCGUUUGCAUGUACUUUAUGAAUAAGGAUCGGCUAACUCCGUGCCAGCAGCCGCGGUAAUACGGAGGAUCCGAGCGUUAUCCGGAUUUAUUGGGUUUAAAGGGAGCGUAGAUGGAUGUUUAAGUCAGUUGUGAAAGUUUGCGGCUCAACCGUAAAAUUGCAGUUGAUACUGGAUAUCUUGAGUGCAGUUGAGGCAGGCGGAAUUCGUGGUGUAGCGGUGAAAUGCUUAGAUAUCACAAAGAACUCCGAUUGCGAAGGCAGCCUGCUAAGCUGCAACUGACAUUGAGGCUCGAAAGUGUGGGUAUCAAACAGGAUUAGAUACCCUGGUAGUCCACACGGUAAACGAUGAAUACUCGCUGUUUGCGAUAUACAGCAAGCGGCCAAGCGAAAGCGUUAAGUAUUCCACCUGGGGAGUACGCCGGCAACGGUGAAACUCAAAGGAAUUGACGGGGGCCCGCACAAGCGGAGGAACAUGUGGUUUAAUUCGAUGAUACGCGAGGAACCUUACCCGGGCUUAAAUUGCAGAUGAAUUACGGUGAAAGCCGUAAGCCGCAAGGCAUCUGUGAAGGUGCUGCAUGGUUGUCGUCAGCUCGUGCCGUGAGGUGUCGGCUUAAGUGCCAUAACGAGCGCAACCCUUGUUGUCAGUUACUAACAGGUUCCGCUGAGGACUCUGACAAGACUGCCAUCGUAAGAUGUGAGGAAGGUGGGGAUGACGUCAAAUCAGCACGGCCCUUACGUCCGGGGCUACACACGUGUUACAAUGGGGGGUACAGAGGGCCGCUACCACGCGAGUGGAUGCCAAUCCCAAAAACCUCUCUCAGUUCGGACUGGAGUCUGCAACCCGACUCCACGAAGCUGGAUUCGCUAGUAAUCGCGCAUCAGCCACGGCGCGGUGAAUACGUUCCCGGGCCU
RNAcentral lists this ribosomal RNA (1358 nucleotides) under uncultured bacterium. Its description in RNAcentral is "bacterial SSU rRNA". It matches the Rfam family "Bacterial small subunit ribosomal RNA", at positions 28 to 1381 of the family's 1533-position model. The record is from RNAcentral.